UAGAAAAACUAGUAACUGGUAACAGCACAUGACAUUUGACUUAUCGCGGCAAUUGGUAAGCAAUGCUGUGAGAGGGCGUUUCAUUACACAACAUAUGGCUGAACUUCAUCGAUUUGUUUGCUACGUACAUACAUAUAUAUAUGAAACGCAUGUCGCGUUUACAAUGAAUAAGAAAAGCUUGUGUACAAGCGAUUUUGGUGUUGGUCGUUAAUUGUAAGAACGCUAUGUGCGUCGUUUAUUUUAGAAACAUUUACUCAGAAUUAUUGAUUAUUCAAGUUCAAGAAUAGUUUUUAAGGGAUGCUGUUAUGCGAAUUAAUUGAAUUAACUGUCAAUCGGUGACGUACUUACAACCACUUAACGGUCCAAUUAAUAAUAUACAUGAAAAAGAUCUAUAACUCGUUAUAUUGUUACUAGAGAAUUAAUCAGAAACUUUGAUAAAUAUAUAUAUUUAUGAUGAUAUAAAAUAGGAAGAAUUUAAAAAUUAAUAAAAUCAAAAUCGUCGUUCGUUGUAACAAAUUCAAAAAAUGAUUUAUAUGAACAUAGAGGCAAUAUUACAAACGGUCUUUAAGAAAAGCAUGUUUUUUUUUUGUAGUUAAAAUGCACGAAUUGAUCAUUAAACAUCUGCGUGAUCAAAACCGAAAACAGAGAGAUUAUACAUGUACUUGCAAGAAAAAACCGAUUGAGAUACUUACAACAAAUUUAGAUUUUCGUUUAUAAUGCUCGCAGCCGUAAUCAUCAUCAGCAGUGGCUUCCAAGGGUUCCUCCUUUGACGUCGACGCACGAUCAGCCACAGUGCGCGCUUCGUCGUUAUUCUCCAUAUCUUUCGAUGAUCCUAAAUUCCUACCUCUUUCUCCUCCGCCGCCUCCUUCUCAUCGACUCGCACGUCCUUUUCAGAUUUUCUUGUGCCGUAUCCGAUUAACACUAUCUCGGCUACAGUUUGUUUGUUUAAUUAACACACUAGCGGCGAUUCAAAAACGGUAGAAAAAGAACACCGACGUAGAACGUUCGGAUCACGCGCCGACAAGCGAGCAAGGGCUGUUUAUUCUGUAUGAAUAGGCAGCCCUCAACCCGAACCAAUAGGAAAUAUUUCAAGUCUCAUAUGUCUGAUCAU
Molecule: long non-coding RNA, 1111 nt
Organism: Apis florea (little honeybee)
Lineage: Eukaryota; Metazoa; Arthropoda; Insecta; Hymenoptera; Apidae
Source: RefSeq, a predicted model, not a curated record